UGGGGAAUUUUGGACAAUGGGCGAAAGCCUGAUCCAGCAAUGCCGCGUGUGUGAAGAAGGCCUUCGGGUUGUAAAGCACUUUUGUCCGGAAAGAAAUCCUUGGCUCUAAUACAGUCGGGGGAUGACGGUACCGGAAGAAUAAGCACCGGCUAACUACGUGCCAGCAGCCGCGGUAAUACGUAGGGUGCAAGCGUUAAUCGGAAUUACUGGGCGUAAAGCGUGCGCAGGCGGUUUGCUAAGACCGAUGUGAAAUCCCCGGGCUCAACCUGGGAACUGCAUUGGUGACUGGCAGGCUAGAGUAUGGCAGAGGGGGGUAGAAUUCCACGUGUAGCAGUGAAAUGCGUAGAGAUGUGGAGGAAUACCGAUGGCGAAGGCAGCCCCCUGGGCCAAAUACUGACGCUCAUGCACGAAAGCGUGGGGAGCAAACAGGAUUAGAUACCCUGGUAGUCCACGCCCUAAACGAUGUCAACUAGUUGUUGGGGAUUCAUUCCUUAGUAACGUAGCUAACGCGUGAAGUUGACCGCCUGGGGAGUACGGUCGCAAGAUUAAAACUCAAAUGAGUUGACGGGGU
Molecule: ribosomal RNA, 571 nt
Filed under: uncultured bacterium
Lineage: Bacteria
Description: partial 16S ribosomal RNA
Rfam family: Bacterial small subunit ribosomal RNA
Source: RNAcentral